UGGAAGGAAUUGUCCGUUGUA
RNAcentral lists this non-coding RNA (21 nucleotides) under Arabidopsis thaliana (thale cress). The record is from RNAcentral. Lineage: Eukaryota; Viridiplantae; Streptophyta; Magnoliopsida; Brassicales; Brassicaceae.